Molecule: ribosomal RNA, 533 nt
Filed under: Aspergillus sp. E30
Lineage: Eukaryota; Fungi; Ascomycota; Eurotiomycetes; Eurotiales; Aspergillaceae
Description: eukaryotic LSU rRNA
Rfam family: Eukaryotic large subunit ribosomal RNA
Source: RNAcentral
AAAGAAACCAACAGGGAUUGCCUCAGUAACGGCGAGUGAAGCGGCAACAGCUCAAAUUUGAAAUCUGGCCCUAGGCCCGAGUUGUAAUUUGCAGAGGAUGCUUUUGGCGAGGUGCCUUCCGAGUUCCCUGGAACGGGACGCCAUAGAGGGUGAGAGCCCCGUCUGGUCGGACACCGAGCCUCUGUAAAGCUCCUUCGACGAGUCGAGUAGUUUGGGAAUGCUGCUCUAAAUGGGAGGUAUAUGUCUUCUAAAGCUAAAUACCGGCCAGAGACCGAUAGCGCACAAGUAGAGUGAUCGAAAGAUGAAAAGCACUUUGAAAAGAGAGUUAAAUAGCACGUGAAAUUGUUGAAAGGGAAGCGUUUAUGACCAGACUUGGCCCGGUUGAUCAUCCAGCGUUCUCGCUGGUGCACUCUGCCGGUCCAGGCCAGCAUCAGUUCGUCGCGGGGGAUAAAGGUUUCGGGAAUGUGGCUCCUUCGGGAGUGUUAUAGCCCGUUGCGUAAUACCCUGCGGUGGACUGAGGUCCGCGCUUCUGC